CAAGUCGAGCGGAUGAGAAGAGCUUGCUCUUCGAUUCAGCGGCGGACGGGUGAGUAAUACCUAGGAAUCUGCCUGGUAGUGGGGGACAACGUUUCGAAAGGAACGCUAAUACCGCAUACGUCCUACGGGAGAAAGCAGGGGACCUUCGGGCCUUGCGCUAUCAGAUGAGCCUAGGUCGGAUUAGCUAGUUGGUGAGGUAAUGGCUCACCAAGGCGACGAUCCGUAACUGGUCUGAGAGGAUGAUCAGUCACACUGGAACUGAGACACGGUCCAGACUCCUACGGGAGGCAGCAGUGGGGAAUAUUGGACAAUGGGCGAAAGCCUGAUCCAGCCAUGCCGCGUGUGUGAAGAAGGUCUUCGGAUUGUAAAGCACUUUAAGUUGGGAGGAAGGGCAUUAACCUAAUACGUUAGUGUUUUGACGUUACCGACAGAAUAAGCACCGGCUAACUCUGUGCCAGCAGCCGCGGUAAUACAGAGGGUGCAAGCGUUAAUCGGAAUUACUGGGCGUAAAGCGCGCGUAGGUGGUUCGUUAAGUUGGAUGUGAAAUCCCCGGGCUCAACCUGGGAACUGCAUCCAAAACUGGCGAGCUAGAGUAGGGCAGAGGGUGGUGGAAUUUCCUGUGUAGCGGUGAAAUGCGUAGAUAUAGGAAGGAACACCAGUGGCGAAGGCGACCGCCUGGGCUCAUACUGACACUGAGGUGCGAAAGCGUGGGGAGCAAACANGAUUAGAUACCCUGGUAGUCCACGCCGUAAACGAUGUCAACUAGCCGUUGGAAUCCUUGAGAUUUUA
This 789-nucleotide ribosomal RNA is filed under the name uncultured Pseudomonas sp. Its description in RNAcentral is "bacterial SSU rRNA". It matches the Rfam family "Bacterial small subunit ribosomal RNA", at positions 58 to 842 of the family's 1533-position model. The record is from RNAcentral. Lineage: Bacteria; Pseudomonadati; Pseudomonadota; Gammaproteobacteria; Pseudomonadales; Pseudomonadaceae.